UACGAAGGUGGCAAGCGUUACUCGGAAUUACUAGGCGUAAAGGGCAGGUAGGUGGUUUGAUAAGUCUGUUGUGAAAGCUCCUGGCUUAACUGGGAGAGGUCAACGGAAACUAUUAGACUUGAGUAUGGGAGAGGGUACUGGAAUUCCCGGUGUAGCGGUGAAAUGCGCAGAGAUCGGGAGGAACACCUAUGGCGAAAGCAGGUACCUGGACCAUUACUGACACUCAGCUGCGAAAGCUAGGGGAGCAAACAGG
This 253-nucleotide ribosomal RNA is filed under the name uncultured bacterium. RNAcentral's name for it is "partial 16S ribosomal RNA". It matches the Rfam family "Bacterial small subunit ribosomal RNA", at positions 524 to 776 of the family's 1533-position model. The record is from RNAcentral.